CGCUGGCGGCGUGCUUAAUACAUGCAAGUCGAGCGAGCUACUUCGGUAGCGAGCGGCGCACGGGUGAGUAACGCGUAGAUGAUCUACCCUUGAGACGGAGAUACCUCCGGGAAACUGGAGUUAAUACCCGAUAACGCACAUUGAUUGGUUUUGAUGUGUUAAAGCGGUGCAAGUCGCACUUGAGGAUGAGUCUGCGGCCUAUCAGCUAGUUGGUGGGGUAACGGCCUACCAAGGCGAAGACGGGUAGCUGAUCUGAGAGGAUGAUCAGCCACAUUGGGACUGAGACACGGCCCAAACUCCUACGGGAGGCAGCAGUAGGGAAUAUUGCGCAAUGGGGGGAACCCUGACGCAGCGACGCCGCGUGAAGUGAUGACGGCCUUUUUGGUUGUAAAGCUCUGUAAAGAGGGAAAAAUGUUUAUGUGAAGAGCAUGAAUUGAUGGUACCUCUAAAGUAAGGACCGGCUAAAUACGUGCCAGCCGCUGC
RNAcentral lists this ribosomal RNA (483 nucleotides) under uncultured bacterium. RNAcentral's name for it is "bacterial SSU rRNA". It matches the Rfam family "Bacterial small subunit ribosomal RNA", at positions 34 to 518 of the family's 1533-position model. The record is from RNAcentral.